AGAUUAAACUGAAGAGUUUGAUCCUGGCUCAGAUUGAACGCUGGCGGCAUGCCUUACACAUGCAAGUCGAACGGCAGCGCGGGGCAACCUGGCGGCGAGUGGCGAACGGGUGAGUAAUAUAUCGGAACGUACCCUGGAGUGGGGGAUAACGUAGCGAAAGUUACGCUAAUACCGCAUACGAUCUAAGGAUGAAAGUGGGGGAUUCGCAAGAACCUCAUGCUCCUGGAGCGGCCGAUAUCUGAUUAGCUAGUUGGUAGGGUAAAAGCCUACCAAGGCAUCGAUCAGUAGCUGGUCUGAGAGGACGACCAGCCACACUGGAACUGAGACACGGUCCAGACUCCUACGGGAGGCAGCAGUGGGGAAUUUUGGACAAUGGGCGCAAGCCUGAUCCAGCAAUGCCGCGUGAGUGAAGAAGGCCUUCGGGUUGUAAAGCUCUUUUGUCAGGGAAGAAACGG
Molecule: ribosomal RNA, 455 nt
Filed under: Duganella sp. FT27W
Lineage: Bacteria; Pseudomonadati; Pseudomonadota; Betaproteobacteria; Burkholderiales; Oxalobacteraceae
Description: bacterial SSU rRNA
Rfam family: Bacterial small subunit ribosomal RNA
Source: RNAcentral